Molecule: ribosomal RNA, 253 nt
Filed under: uncultured bacterium
Lineage: Bacteria
Description: partial 16S ribosomal RNA
Rfam family: Bacterial small subunit ribosomal RNA
Source: RNAcentral
UACGUAGGUGGCAAGCGUUGUCCGGAUUUACUGGGUGUAAAGGGCGUGCAGCCGGAGAGACAAGUCAGAUGUGAAAUCCACGGGCUCAACCCGUGAACUGCAUUUGAAACUGUUUCCCUUGAGUGUCGGAGAGGUAAUCGGAAUUCCUUGUGUAGCGGUGAAAUGCGUAGAUAUAAGGAAGAACACCAGUGGCGAAGGCGGAUUACUGGACGAUAACUGACAGUGAGGCGCGAAAGCGUGGGGAGCAAACAGG